UUCAAACUUGAGCCCACUCCCCAAAAAAAUGCCCAUAAGCAUAAGCGCUUUUUCCAAAAACAACGCUUAUUUCGCAAAAGCUAUUUUUUUCUCUCAUCUUUCUCACGUAACAACAACAACAAUACACUCAAACUCUUCAUCUAGUUUUUCUUAAAAAAUUGAUACAACAAACAACCAACAACCGGAUUCAGUUUUUGAUUUAGAAUUGUUUCAAUUUUGAUUUCGCGGUUCUAUUUGAGCUUCACGACUAUGUUUGGUGUUUGCGAAGGUUUUUUGUUCAGAAUCAAAUUGCUACUCAGUUCUGUUUUGGUUUGAGUUUGGAGGUUUCGACUCAGUGCGGAGUUUGGAUUCGAGCAGAGCUUUUCAAGGUUCAUAAUUUGCAUUCAAGCCAAGUUUUUAGUACAUGUUUGUUUCGAUUUCAAAUCGAAUUUUGUUUCAGUUUAGAAUUUGAUUUACGUUUUUAACUCAAUUACAGGUUCUAUGUUUGAUUGUGAUUCUUGUGAUUCAAUUUUGGUGCAUAUUUUGGUUUAAGUUAUAAUUAAAGCUAGUAUACAACAUCAUAAAGCUUAAUUGGAUGAGCGCUUACUAGUUGAAAUGAAGAAAACUGCAGAUUUUGUCCUUGCUCACAAAAUGUUCGAUGAAAUGUUCCAACUAGAUUCUUUCUUCUUUUUGAUUCAGUUUUGAUUUUCUUAUGCUAUGAUGUUGUGUUGCUGAUUAUUAUGUUCAAAUCGCAGCUUGUGAAUUGCUUUUGAGUUUGUUAUAAUCUUUUAUGUAUGCUCAGUUGUGUGAAUUUAAUUUAUCCAUAAAUGAUCCAAUACCCAAAUCUAGGACAUGGUGAGAGUUUCAAAAUCAAUCACUGUAUUACUCUAUCCGUCCACCUUGAACGUUACAUGUUUGAUAAAAUGUGUGUGUGAGAUUGUGAUAGUUAUUUUAAUGAAUUUUUUAUGCUUUCACUCUAUCAAGUACCUUCCCUAAUUCUGUUGUUGAAAGGAUCCACUCUUCUUGUGUAAUAAAUGACUACACUUCAAAGAUCUCUCUUACUGUUUUCGGUGCUCUUGGCCUCUCAUACUCUCUCCCCUCAACGGCAAUCUCAUCAAUCUUAUCAGGAUUACUUUUCCUCCCACUCCAUGAAUCAAACAGUGAGGAUUGUCAGGGAUAAGCUUGAUAAGAUUGAAUCUAGUGGCAAACAUCUACAAGAUGGAUCAACAUCCAAAAACGCACGAGUUGAUAAUAGGAGGAGGAUUUAAUGUGUAAAAAAGUAUAAAGUUUAAUAUAAUUAUGAUGUUCUCCUAGAGUGUGUUUGAGAGGAUUUAGGAAGGAAAGAUCCCCCUCUCUCCUCUUUUCUUCCGGAUCAAGAUCAAUCUCCUAUUCGGGUUUGAUGGAAUUAGUGUUGUAAGGGAUGAAAGCGUUUUAUCAAUUCCAUUGAAGUGUAUUGCUCCUGCAUUUACCUACCUAGAGGUAGAUAUUUAACUUGUUCUUGUUAGUUUUUUGUGUUGUAUGAAGUUUGUGAUUGAAAGUGGCAACUGUCAAGAUUAGAGUACCCUGCGAUUCUUAUUUUAUCUAUGUAGUUAGUGUGUUCUUGUUAGCUGGCUUCUGGCUGAGUUGUGUUUUCUAUUUUACGGAAAUAGUUGUCUUUGCAAAAUGAGACAAAAACUGACUGUUUUACAUAAAUGUACAGAUCAAAAGGUUAAGCAUAGUUGUUUUGUUCAUUUUACUCAUGUACUGAUUUCGUUUCCAUGUAAGUAUGUUAUUCAAUAGAUGCUUGGUACACUAGAGGAUGUCCAAGCAAUUUUGGCUGGAUUGCACUAAUAGGCCUUGCACUCUACAUCAUAUUCUUCUCACCAAGAAUGGGAACAGUUCCAUGGGUUGUUAACUCUGAAAUCUAUCCAUUAAGAUACAGAGGAAUCUGUGGAGGAAUAGCCUCUACCACAGUUUGGGUUUCCAACCUUAUUGUUUCUCAAUCCUUCUUAUCUUUGACUGAAGCAAUUGGAACAUCUUGGACUUUCAUGCUCUUUGGAAUCAUUGCGUUUAUUGGAAUAUAUUAUCGUUUUCGUGCCAGAGACUAAGGGAGUUCCUAUAGAAGAAGUGGAGAACAUGCUUGAUAGAAGAUCUGUGCAGAUUAAGUUUUGGGAGAAGAGAGAUUCUGGUUCUGAGAAGCAGUGAUUCAGAAGAAAAUAAUAAUAAGGGCUAGCUUCAUGUUUUGUUCCAUAGCUUUAGUUAUUAAUGUGUGAAGUAAACUAUGGUUUGAAUUAAUGCUGAGUUUGUGCGAAUUACAAUGUCACCGUAAUUCGGUCAAAUUUGUAGUAAUUUUAAAAUUACAUUGGAUUUCUUUUGGGUAAUAUGUUAUGUAAUUAACAUUUUAGUUCAAAUGGGUAGUUUUAUCAAGUGGAUUGUUGGAAAUCCUCAUGAAAUCUGUAGUUCACAUAUAUUUACUAGUAUUACUUUGUAUUGAAACUACAAUAUCUAAUAUGAUAUUGUGAAGUCAAUUUGCUCAA
This is a long non-coding RNA of Vicia villosa (hairy vetch), 2495 nucleotides long. RefSeq lists it as uncharacterized. The record is from RefSeq and is a predicted model, not a curated record. NCBI's taxonomy places the organism in Eukaryota, Viridiplantae, Streptophyta, Magnoliopsida, Fabales, Fabaceae. The transcript is spliced from 4 exons.